GAAGAACCUUACCUGGGCUUGACAUAUAGAGGAUCGCUACAGAGAUGUGGUUUCCCUUGUGGCUUCUAUACAGGUGGUGCAUGGUUGUCGUCAGCUCGUGUCGUGAGAUGUUGGGUUAAGUCCCGCAACGAGCGCAACCCUUGUCUUAUGUUGCCAGCACGUUAUGGUGGGGACUCGUGAGAGACUGCCGGGGUCAACUCGG
RNAcentral lists this ribosomal RNA (202 nucleotides) under uncultured bacterium. RNAcentral describes it as "partial 16S ribosomal RNA". It matches the Rfam family "Bacterial small subunit ribosomal RNA", at positions 963 to 1166 of the family's 1533-position model. The record is from RNAcentral.